ACGCUGGCGGCGUGCCUAACACAUGCAAGUCGAGCGGAGUCAGUAAGAGGAAGUUUCGGAUGGAAUCUUAUUGAUUUAGCGGCGGACGGGUGAGUAACGCGUGAGCGACCAACCUUGCACAGGGGGAUAACGGACCGAAAGGUUCACUAAUACCGCAUGAGACCACGGUGUUGCAUGACACAGGGGUCAAAGGAGCAAUCCGGUGCAAGACGGGCUCGCGUCCGAUUAGGUAGUUGGAGGGUAACGGCCCACCAAGCCUAUGAUCGGUAGCCGACCUGAGAGGGUGAUCGGCCACAUUGGAACUGAGAUACGGUCCAAACUCCUACGGGAGGCAGCAGUGGGGAAUAUUGGGCAAUGGGGGGAAACCCUGACCCAGCAACGCCGCGUGAAGGAAGAAGGUUUUCGGAUUGUAAACUUCUGUCCUUGGUGAAGAGAAGAAGACGGUAGCCAAGGAGGAAGCCCCGGCUAACUACGUGCCAGCCGCCGC
Molecule: ribosomal RNA, 487 nt
Filed under: uncultured bacterium
Lineage: Bacteria
Description: bacterial SSU rRNA
Rfam family: Bacterial small subunit ribosomal RNA
Source: RNAcentral